Molecule: ribosomal RNA, 1010 nt
Filed under: marine metagenome
Description: bacterial SSU rRNA
Rfam family: Archaeal small subunit ribosomal RNA
Source: RNAcentral
UCCCGUUGAUCCUGCGGGAGGUUGCUGCUAUUAGGGUUCGACUAAGCCAUGCAAGUCAGGUAGCAAUACCGGCAUAACGCUCAGUAACACGUCAAUAAUCUGCCCUUAAGUCUAGGAUAACCUUGGGAAACUGAGGCUAAGACUGGAUAUGGGAAAAUAUCUGGAAUGAUAUUUCCUUCAAAGGUAACGCUUAAGGAUGAGUUGGCGGUUGAUUAGGUUGUUGGUGGGGUAAAGGCCCACCAAGCCUACGAUCAGUAGGGGCCUCGAGAGAGGGAGCCCCGAGAAGGGCACUGAGAUACUGGCCCUAGCCCCACGGGGUGCAGCAGGCGCGAAACCUUUACAAUAUACGAAAGUGUGAUAAGGGAACCCUAAGUGCUUAGCUUAUGCUAGGCUUUUGCCAAGAGUAAAUAUCUUGGCGAAUAAGUGGUGGGAAAGACUGGUGCCAGCCGCCGCGGUAACACCAGCGCCACAAGUGGCAACUGUGAUUAUUGGGCCUAAAGCGUCCGUAGCCGGAUCUAUAAAUCUUUUGUGAAAUCGUUGAGCUCAACUUAACGGACUGCAGAAGAGACUGUAGAUCUUGGAACCGGGAGGAGUCAGAAGUAUUUCUGGGGGAGCGGUAAAAUGUUAUAAUCCCAGAAAGACUACCUGUGGUGAAGACGUCUGACUAGAACGGAUUCGACGGUGAGGGACGAAAGCUAGGGGAGCAAUCCGGAUUAGAUACCCGAGUAGUCCUAGCUGUAAACGCUGCGAGCAAGGUGUUACAUAUUCUUCGAGAAUGUGUUGUGUCGAAACGAAGGUGCUAAGCUCGCCGCCUGGGGAGUAUGGUCGCAAGACUGAAACUUAAAGGAAUUGGCGGGGGAGCACUACAAGGUGUGCGGCGUGCGGUUUAAUCUAAUUCAACGCAGAGAAUCUCACCAGAGGCGACGGCAGGAUGAAGGUCAGUCUAAAGGGCUUACCUGACGAGCCGAGAGGUAGUGCAUGGCCGCCGUCAGCUCGUGCCGUAAGGUGUC